This 420-nucleotide ribosomal RNA is filed under the name uncultured Nitrosospira sp. RNAcentral's name for it is "bacterial SSU rRNA". It matches the Rfam family "Bacterial small subunit ribosomal RNA", at positions 199 to 600 of the family's 1533-position model. Lineage: Bacteria; Pseudomonadati; Pseudomonadota; Betaproteobacteria; Nitrosomonadales; Nitrosomonadaceae. The record is from RNAcentral.
GAGGAAAGUAGGGGAUCGCAAGACCUUGCGCUUUUGGAGCGGCCGAUGUCUGAUUAGCUAGUUGGUGAGGUAAAGGCUUACCAAGGCGUCGAUCAGUAGCUGGUCUGAGAGGACGACCAGCCACACUGGGACUGAGACACGGCCCAGACUCCUACGGGAGGCAGCAGUGGGGAAUUUUGGACAAUGGGGGAAACCCUGAUCCAGCCAUGCCGCGUGAGUGAAGAAGGCCUUCGGGUUGUAAAGCUCUCUCAGCCGGAACGAAACGGUCACGGUUAAUACCCGUGACUACUGACGGUACCGGAAGAAGAAGCACCGGCUAACUACGUGCCAGCAGCCGCGGUAAUACGUAGGGUGCGAGCGUUAAUCGGAAUUACUGGGCGUAAAGCGUGCGCAGGCGGUUUUGUAAGUCAGAUGUGAAAU